Molecule: long non-coding RNA, 1531 nt
Organism: Oreochromis niloticus (Nile tilapia)
Lineage: Eukaryota; Metazoa; Chordata; Actinopteri; Cichliformes; Cichlidae
Source: Ensembl
UACAAAUACGAAAUACAAAACAAAUAAUAUCUAAUGCUAAUCAUGGUACUUGCAGGGUGCACCAUACUCCUGAGCUGGACCAGACUGACCAUACAACCCCAGGCCUCAGCCAGAGAGACCGUGCGUCUCCCACGUCUCCCAACCUCAGCCAGAGAGACAUGCGCCUCCCAGCCUCAGCCAGAGACCACAAACCAGUCUUCAUACAGCACUCCUUAGAAAUAUUCUCACAAAUCAAGAAAUGAUAAUGGACCAAAUCAAAAUUCUUUUCACAACUGUCCAGGGACUGAAAACUGUAACUGAAGAAGAGAUAGGUGUUGAACCAAAUCUGCUGCCAUUAGCUGAUCGCCAGGCUGUUGAAAACCUGGAGGAGCGGCUCAGAAAUAGUCCCGACCUCAAAAACCAAUUGCGGCUUUGCGACGUAAUCGUCUUACUUCUAAUGCCACAGCCCAAGAAGUUGAGAUGAGAAUAACCAAGUGGCUCCAAAACGCGCCUGAUAGGAAUGGAGGGCAAACUCAAAGAAUGAGAAGGAAGGAUUUGUGAAAGUGAAACUGUUGUGAUUUGUGUUCCAGUGUGUUUUGUGUGUGUGUUUGUGUGCUACAUUUGUUGUGGGGUUUUUUCAGUUCAAAUUUUGAUGUUUGAACUGUGUUCCUGUCCACAGUGUUUACUUUUGCACUAUUAUGUUCCAGCAGCAGUAUUAUUUGAUAUAUUAUACAUUAUAUAAAUUCUUCAAUUCUCAAUAAAUAUGUGCUGCAUCACUUUUGUUGAGACAUUUUUAAUCUGUACUCAAUACGGCACAUGUUAUUACAUGGCUUGAUUAGGGUACACAUUAGGCUGACAUUUGUGGCCAGAGCUGAAACUGCUCUGGGCCAGCACAGAGCUGUCUGCAGCUGGCCUUGUGCUGGCCCAUGUGUGGACUACCUCUGGCAAACCUGAUUUGGGCCACCAAAGGGCCGUCAUUCUUUGCGGUAUGUGGGCCAUGUGUCAGCACAUUGUGUGGGCCAGAUUCGGGCCAUACCAAUUUUGCUAUCUGGGAAGCUGGCAACACUCGUUGUGCACCCCACCCUAUGUGACUGGCUACAGGACUUUUUGACUGGCAGGCCCCAGACCGUCAGGAUCGGCAACAGGACUUCAACCAGCAUUAUUACAAACACGGGCGUUCCACAGGGUUGCGUCCUCAGUCCCAUCCUCUACACCCUGUACACUCACAACUGUGUCACCUCCAAUAGGGAUAACACCAUACUGAAGUUUGCAGAUGACACUGCAGUGAUUGGUCACAUCACUGGAGGGACACAGUGGCUUAUAGGAAAGAGGUGGCCGGUCUGGUGUCAUGGUGUGAGGACAACAACCUCACCCUCAACACUGAUAAGACAAAAGAGAUGAUAGUGGACAUGAGGAAGAAGAGGAGGCCUCACUAGCCGCUGUUUAUCUGGGGGCUUGAAGUGGAGAGGGUGAGCAGCUUUAGCAGUCCUCACCUGGACACUGAACACCACACAGCUGGUCAAGAAGGCUCAGCAGCGGCUGUAUUUCCUGA